RNAcentral lists this transfer RNA (65 nucleotides) under Rhabdoblatta marginata. RNAcentral describes it as "tRNA-Gly". The record is from RNAcentral. Lineage: Eukaryota; Metazoa; Arthropoda; Insecta; Blattodea; Blaberidae.
AUUUUUCUAGUAUAAUUAGUACAUUUGACUUCCAAUCAAAAAGUUUGUUUGAAACAAGAUAAAUA